Molecule: ribosomal RNA, 253 nt
Filed under: uncultured bacterium
Lineage: Bacteria
Description: partial 16S ribosomal RNA
Rfam family: Bacterial small subunit ribosomal RNA
Source: RNAcentral
UACGUAGGGGGCAAGCGUUAUUCGGAUUUACUGGGUGUAAAGGGAGCGUAGACGGCAUAGCAAGUCUGAAGUGAAAGCCCGUGGCUCAACCGCGGAACUGCUUUGGAAACUGUUAAGCUGGAGUACUGGAGAGGCAAGCGGAAUUCCUAGUGUAGCGGUGAAAUGCGUAGAUAUUAGGAGGAACACCAGUGGCGAAGGCGGCUUGCUGGACAGAGACUGACGUUGAGGCUCGAAAGCGUGGGGAGCAAACAGG